AUUGAACGCUGGCGGCAUGCCUUACACAUGCAAGUCGAACGGCAGCACGGGAGCAAUCCUGGUGGCGAGUGGCGAACGGGUGAGUAAAGUAUCGGAACGUGCCCAGUCGUGGGGGAUAACGUAGCGAAAGUUACGCUAAUACCGCAUACGAUCUAUGGAUGAAAGCGGGGGAUCGCAAGACCUCGCGCGAUUGGAGCGGCCGAUAUCAGAUUAGGUAGUUGGUGGGGUAAAGGCUCACCAAGCCGACGAUCUGUAGCUGGUCUGAGAGGACGACCAGCCACACUGGGACUGGGACCCGGCCCAGACUCCUACGGGAGGCAGCAGUGGGGAAUUUUGGACAAUGGGCGAAAGCCUGAUCCAGCCAUGCCGCGUGCAGGAUGAAGUCCCUCGGGUUGUAAACUGCUUUUGUACGGAACGAAAAGGUUUGGCCUAAUAAGCUGAGCUCAUGACGGUACCGUAAGAAUAAGCACCGGCUAACUACGUGCCAGCCGCCGCCGUAA
This 500-nucleotide ribosomal RNA is filed under the name uncultured bacterium. RNAcentral's name for it is "partial 16S ribosomal RNA". It matches the Rfam family "Bacterial small subunit ribosomal RNA", at positions 30 to 523 of the family's 1533-position model. The record is from RNAcentral.